Molecule: long non-coding RNA, 617 nt
Organism: Anguilla anguilla (European eel)
Lineage: Eukaryota; Metazoa; Chordata; Actinopteri; Anguilliformes; Anguillidae
Exons: 6
Source: RefSeq, a predicted model, not a curated record
AAAGAAGGAUUGCUACAAAAGUUUGAAAAAAGUGGGAGAGCUUUUCAUUUCAUGUUGCAGGAUUGCAACAGACACCUGUGGAAUACUGGAUGGAUACUGAAAGGAUACUGUGAAAUGGAAGCCAGGACUCACACUUGGUCCUGAGAGGCUUCACAGUGGCCAGCAAUGGAAUGAUGACAUCAUGACUGGCAGAAGAUGAAACAGUAUCAGUAGAUAUGAGCAAAUCCAGAGUGGCAGACGUAACUUAACAGGAUGAGAGGUACCUGGCAUUCUGAAACAUCUGUCACCAAAGCGCCGCUUCAAACCCUGGCUAUUCACAGACCGCUAUCCCAAGAUUCAAUGCAGCUGAGGAUGAGGAUGCACAGGACAAUCAUACAAAUCUCCUCAAGCUCUUCCUCUUGUUGGCCAAAAUAUGAAGUUAAAAGGUUUUCUGGAUGGAUCUGGAGCAGUGAUUAAGGAUGAGAAGCUGCUGUCGUGGCCCCCAGGCUAGGAGGGACUCUUCCUGGGGGACCCUGGGGCCCAUGGGCCAGCCUACAGCAGGGAUGUACCCCUGCAGAGAGACACAAUUUGUUUAAAACUGUUUAAGUAAAGCGCUGUAUGAUUCUUCUUGAAAUUUU